CUGUGAGCUCGAUGAGUAGGGCGGGACACGUGGUAUCCUGUCUGAAUAUGGGGGGACCAUCCUCCAAGGCUAAAUACUCCUGACUGACCGAUAGUGAACCAGUACCGUGAGGGAAAGGCGAAAAGAACCCCGGCGAGGGGAGUGAAAAAGAACCUGAAACCGUGUACGUACAAGCAGUGGGAGCCUCUUUAUGGGGUGACUGCGUACCUUUUGUAUAAUGGGUCAGCGACUUAUAUUCUGUAGCAAGGUUAACCGAAUAGGGGAGCCGAAGGGAAACCGAGUCUUAACUGGGCGUUAAGUUGCAGGGUAUAGACCCGAAACCCGGUGAUCUAGCCAUGGGCAGGUUGAAGGUUGGGUAACACUAACUGGAGGACCGAACCGACUAAUGUUGAAAAAUUAGCGGAUGACUUGUGGCUGGGGGUGAAAGGCCAAUCAAACCGGGAGAUAGCUGGUUCUCCCCGAAAGCUAUUUAGGUAGCGCCUCGUGAAUUCAUCUCCGGGGGUAGAGCACUGUUUCGGCAAGGGGGUCAUCCCGACUUACCAACCCGAUGCAAACUGCGAAUACCGGAGAAUGUUAUCACGGGAGACACACGGCGGGUGCUAACGUCCGUCGUGAAGAGGGAAACAACCCAGACCGCCAGCUAAGGUCCCAAAGUCAUGGUUAAGUGGGAAACGAUGUGGGAAGGCCCAGACAGCCAGGAUGUUGGCUUAGAAGCAGCCAUCAUUUAAAGAAAGCGUAAUAGCUCACUGGUCGAGUCGGCCUGCGCGGAAGAUGUAACGGGGCUAAACCAUGCACCGAAGCUGCGGCAGCGACGCUGAUGCGUUGUUGGGUAGGGGAGCGUUCUGUAAGCCUGUGAAGGUGUACUGUGAGGUAUGCUGGAGGUAUCAGAAGUGCGAAUGCUGACAUAAGUAACGAUAAAGCGGGUGAAAAGCCCGCUCGCCGGAAGACCAAGGGUUCCUGUCCAACGUUAAUCGGGGCAGGGUGAGUCGACCCCUAAGGCGAGGCCGAAAGGCGUAGUCGAUGGGAAACAGGUUAAUAUUCCUGUACUUGGUGUUACUGCGAAGGGGGGACGGAGAAGGCUAUGUUGGCCGGGCGACGGUUGUCCCGGUUUAAGCGUGUAGGCUGGUUUUCCAGGCAAAUCCGGAAAACUAAGGCUGAGGCGUGAUGACGAGGCACUACGGUGCUGAAGCAACAAAUGCCCUGCUUCCAGGAAAAGCCUCUAAGCAUCAGGUAACAUCAAAUCGUACCCCAAACCGACACAGGUGGUCAGGUAGAGAAUACCAAGGCGCUUGAGAGAACUCGGGUGAAGGAACUAGGCAAAAUGGUGCCGUAACUUCGGGAGAAGGCACGCUGAUAUGUAGGUGAAGCGACUUGCUCGUGGAGCUGAAAUCAGUCGAAGAUACCAGCUGGCUGCAACUGUUUAUUAAAAACACAGCACUGUGCAAACACGAAAGUGGACGUAUACGGUGUGACGCCUGCCCGGUGCCGGAAGGUUAAUUGAUGGGGUCAGCGCAAGCGAAGCUCUUGAUCGAAGCCCCGGUAAACGGCGGCCGUAACUAUAACGGUCCUAAGGUAGCGAAAUUCCUUGUCGGGUAAGUUCCGACCUGCACGAAUGGCGUAAUGAUGGCCAGGCUGUCUCCACCCGAGACUCAGUGAAAUUGAACUCGCUGUGAAGAUGCAGUGUACCCGCGGCAAGACGGAAAGACCCCGUGAACCUUUACUAUAGCUUGACACUGAACAUUGAGCCUUGAUGUGUAGGAUAGGUGGGAGGCUUUGAAGUGUGGACGCCAGUCUGCAUGGAGCCGACCUUGAAAUACCACCCUUUAAUGUUUGAUGUUCUAACGUGGACCCGUGAUCCGGGUUGCGGACAGUGUCUGGUGGGUAGUUUGACUGGGGCGGUCUCCUCCUAAAGAGUAACGGAGGAGCACGAAGGUUGGCUAAUCCUGGUCGGACAUCAGGAGGUUAGUGCAAUGGCAUAAGCCAGCUUGACUGCGAGCGUGACGGCGCGAGCAGGUGCGAAAGCAGGUCAUAGUGAUCCGGUGGUUCUGAAUGGAAGGGCCAUCGCUCAACGGAUAAAAGGUACUCCGGGGAUAACAGGCUGAUACCGCCCAAGAGUUCAUAUCGACGGCGGUGUUUGGCACCUCGAUGUCGGCUCAUCACAUCCUGGGGCUGAAGUAGGUCCCAAGGGUAUGGCUGUUCGCCAUUUAAAGUGGUACGCGAGCUGGGUUUAGAACGUCGUGAGACAGUUCGGUCCCUAUCUGCCGUGGGCGCUGGAGAACUGAGGGGGGCUGCUCCUAGUACGAGAGGACCGGAGUGGACGCAUCACUGGUGUUCGGGUUGUCAUGCCAAUGGCACUGCCCGGUAGCUAAAUGCGGAAGAGAUAAGUGCUGAAAGCAUCUAAGCACGAAACUUGCCCCGAGAUGAGUUCUCCCUGACUCCUUGAGAGUCCUGAAGGAACGUUGAAGACGACGACGUUGAUAGGCCGGGUGUGUAAGCGCAGCGAUGCGUUGAGCUAACCGGUACUAAUGAACCGUGAGGCUUAACCUUACAACGCCGAAG
RNAcentral lists this ribosomal RNA (2559 nucleotides) under Escherichia coli. RNAcentral describes it as "partial 23S ribosomal RNA". It matches the Rfam family "Bacterial large subunit ribosomal RNA", at positions 397 to 2925 of the family's 2925-position model. Lineage: Bacteria; Pseudomonadati; Pseudomonadota; Gammaproteobacteria; Enterobacterales; Enterobacteriaceae. The record is from RNAcentral.